CUCCGUACAUAUUUCACUUUUGAAAUUUCACCAGAACUCUCAAAAUGUAAAAUGCUACCUGACUUUUUUUUACUGUACAUAUGUAAAGACUAAUCUAUUGGAAACCAAGCAAUUUUUAUGCUGUUUACACACAUUUGAGAUCUGACUCGACUUCCCUUGCAGUCAUACCUGGCAGCUGAAAUAUCUUACAGCCAGACAUGGAGAGUAAAAACAUUCCUUUUCUGCUUUACACUCUUUUGUAAUUACACCUGAAUUUCGUUUCAGCUGUCAUUCCCUUUCCACUUUUCUUGACUGGAAAUCAAAAAAGGUAUUUAGUUACCAAACCAUCUUCCUGCUUUCAUGUAAUCUAAAAGCUGCCCCUCUAAGGAUUUAAACCAUACUCUAGUUCCUGACUUAGGCAGACAGUAGCAGAAUUGAAUCUGAAAUCUGAAAAGCACGAUCCCUUCUGGGUUUUUCUUGCUGUUUGAGCAUUAUCAAGAACUUUUCAUUUUUUCUCUCUGCUGAGCAGUGUGAAUGGCUGAAGAGCAAAUUACUCCAUCCUCAGAGCCAAAGUGAAUCUCUUAUAAAGAGAUACCAUGAUAUCAGCCCAUGAAGACAAUGAGAAGGCUGGCAUCCUUAGUGCUUUUAACAUCCCUGCUCUGACACGAGGUGAUGCACUAGCCUGCAAGCUUUUGGCUGCUGGAGGAAAAUGUGCAGACGUCCUGAGAGAUUAGAUAUGUCCAUCUGAGCCUCAAAGAAGUGGAAACUAAACGACUGUAACAUGUCAAAGGCCUCAGCUUCUGUCCCUUUUUGGAGGACCUUGUCCUGUACGUGUGCACUGGCAUUUCAGCCAGCUCUGGACACGGGGAUGGGAGCAGAGAGAGCAGGCCUCAGUCCUCCUUCCCCCUGCCCCAAAUGGCGCUGCUGACCUGGAGCCCCGGCAGCAUGGGCAGGGGCGUGAGGCAGCGCUGGGCCCACAGGAGAUAAGGGCUGAUGGAUGGCGUGGAUGGCCUGGCGGCUGAGAUAACGCUGGGACCUGCCCAGAAAGUAUGCGGUGGGAGGAGAUGUUCCCUGCUGCUGCCACAGCUCUAUCUCCCGCUGCUCUUUGGGAAGAGGUCAUUGCACGAGGCACCAUUUAUAACCGGCGCCAUCAGCACCCUACCUCUAGCAGCCAGCAUGAAGUUCCAGAGGUCUCCAGAUGAGCCAGAAGCCAGCAUAUGCAGUUUGGCAGAUGAAGAAUCAGUGCAGUCAACACAUGCCGUGAAGCAGACCUUGAUUUUGUUCAAACAAUAAGAAAAACUGACUAGUCCUAAAAGAACAGCAUAUUCCAGCCUAAAAGAUAUAAAUAAAACUGAGAAAAAUAUGUGGAGUGUGGAUGAA
RNAcentral lists this long non-coding RNA (1359 nucleotides) under Cyanistes caeruleus (blue tit). RNAcentral's name for it is "lncRNA (ENSCCEG00000011713.1)". The record is from RNAcentral. Lineage: Eukaryota; Metazoa; Chordata; Aves; Passeriformes; Paridae.